CUCUAUGGCCAUGCCACCCUAAACAUGCCCGACCUCAUCUGAUCUCAGCAGCUACUCAGGGUCGGGCCUGGUUAGUACUUGGAUGGGAGACCAUCUAGGAAGACCAGGUGCUAUAGGCU
This 119-nucleotide ribosomal RNA is filed under the name Pteropus alecto (black flying fox). The record is from RNAcentral. Lineage: Eukaryota; Metazoa; Chordata; Mammalia; Chiroptera; Pteropodidae.